AGCGAACGUUUGCGGCGGGCUUAACACAUGCAAGUCGAACGGGCUGUUCCUUCGGGGGCAGUCAGUGGCGCACGGGUGCGUAACACGUAGGUAAUCAACCCCUCUGGUUGGGGAUAACACUUCGAAAGGAGUGCUAAUACCCGGUAUGGCCGCAGCGGUCUUCGGAUCGCGGCGAGAAAGACCCGCAAGGGUUGCCCAGAGGACGAGCCUGCGGCCCAUCAGCUAGUUGGCGAGGUAACGGCUCACCAAGGCGAAGACGGGUAGCUGGUCUGAGAGGAUGAUCAGCCACACUGGAACUGAGACACGGUCCAG
Molecule: ribosomal RNA, 312 nt
Filed under: uncultured bacterium
Lineage: Bacteria
Description: bacterial SSU rRNA
Rfam family: Bacterial small subunit ribosomal RNA
Source: RNAcentral